This 372-nucleotide ribosomal RNA is filed under the name uncultured bacterium. RNAcentral's name for it is "bacterial SSU rRNA". It matches the Rfam family "Bacterial small subunit ribosomal RNA", at positions 524 to 898 of the family's 1533-position model. The record is from RNAcentral.
UACGGAGGGUGCAAGCGUUAUCCGGAUUUAUUGGGUUUAAAGGGUGCGUAGGCGGCCUUUUAAGUCAGUGGUGAAAACCUGCGGCUCAACCGUAGGCGUGCCAUUGAAACUGAAGGGCUUGAGUCACCAUGAGGCAGGCGGAAUGUGUAGUGUAGCGGUGAAAUGCUUAGAUAUUACACAGAACACCGAUUGCGUAGGCAGCUUGCUAAAGGUACACUGACGCUGAUGCACGAAAGCGUGGGGAUCGAACAGGAUUAGAUACCCUGGUAGUCCACGCCGUAAACGAUGAUGACUCGCUGUUGGCGAUAUACAGUCAGCGGCUUAGCGAAAGCGUUAAGUCAUCCACCUGGGGAGUACGCUCGCAAGAGUGAA